This is a transfer RNA of Daphnia magna, 72 nucleotides long. It matches the Rfam family "tRNA". From Rfam's summary of the family: Transfer RNA (tRNA) molecules are approximately 80 nucleotides in length. Their secondary structure includes four short double-helical elements and three loops (D, anti-codon, and T loops). Lineage: Eukaryota; Metazoa; Arthropoda; Branchiopoda; Diplostraca; Daphniidae. The record is from Rfam.
GCCUCAUUGGUCUAGUGGUAUGAUUCCUACUUUGGGUGUAGGAGGUCCCGGGUUCAAAUCCCGGAUGAGCCC